GCCAUCUUUAUGAGAAUCGUGGAAUGAAUGAAGUUCAUGAACAGAGGUGCCACUGUACAGUAGGCUCAUCAGAUUGUGGAGGCAACAUAUCCCUUAUCUGAGUGUACCAGUCUCGUCCAUUUUCUGAAUGACCCCAAAAGCUUCCCCUCUGUCAUUAUCCAAUAGGUUCACAGAAAAAGUGGCCGUGGUGGCAUGGGUGGAGGUUAUGCACAAGCCCCAAAACAUGGACUUCCAUUCACCAGGGCCAACUUGGCUGUAGACACCGCUGAGUAACCAGU
This 278-nucleotide long non-coding RNA is filed under the name Heterocephalus glaber (naked mole-rat). Its description in RNAcentral is "lncRNA (ENSHGLG00000041297.1)". Lineage: Eukaryota; Metazoa; Chordata; Mammalia; Rodentia; Bathyergidae. The record is from RNAcentral.